AUACUGGCAAGGGAGAUACCAUGAUCACGAAGGUGUUUUUCCCAGGGCGAGGCUUAUCUAUUGCACUCUGGAUGUGCUGACUCCUGCAAUUUCCCCAAAUGUGGGAAACUCGACUGUAUAAUUUGUAGUAGUGGGGGGCUGCAUUUGCACUUUCCCCUG
Molecule: small nuclear RNA, 159 nt
Organism: Heterocephalus glaber (naked mole-rat)
Lineage: Eukaryota; Metazoa; Chordata; Mammalia; Rodentia; Bathyergidae
Gene: U1
Rfam family: U1 spliceosomal RNA
About the family: U1 is a small nuclear RNA (snRNA) component of the spliceosome (involved in pre-mRNA splicing). Its 5' end forms complementary base pairs with the 5' splice junction, thus defining the 5' donor site of an intron.
Source: Ensembl